Molecule: non-coding RNA, 136 nt
Filed under: human gut metagenome
Description: FMN riboswitch (RFN element)
Rfam family: FMN riboswitch aptamer (RFN element)
About the family: The RFN element is a highly conserved domain that is found frequently in the 5'-untranslated regions of prokaryotic mRNAs that encode for flavin mononucleotide (FMN) biosynthesis and transport proteins. This element is a metabolite-dependent riboswitch that directly binds FMN in the absence of proteins. In Bacillus subtilis, the riboswitch most likely controls gene expression by causing premature transcription termination within the 5' untranslated region of the ribDEAHT operon and precluding access to the ribosome-binding site of ypaA mRNA.
Source: RNAcentral
UUCUUCGGGGUCGGGUGCAAUUCCCUACCGGCGGUAAAGUCCGCGACCUGUCUGUUUGCAUUACAUACAGUAAGAAAACAGAUGGCUGAUUUGGUGAAAUUCCAAAACCGACAGUAAAGUCUGGAUGAGAGAAGAA